RNAcentral lists this ribosomal RNA (403 nucleotides) under uncultured bacterium. Its description in RNAcentral is "partial 16S ribosomal RNA". It matches the Rfam family "Bacterial small subunit ribosomal RNA", at positions 30 to 526 of the family's 1533-position model. The record is from RNAcentral.
AUUGAACGCUGGCGGCAGGCCUAACACAUGCAAGUCGAGCGAGCGGCGGACGGGUGAGUAAUGUAUGGGGACUGCCCGAUAUAGGGGGAUAACUACUGGAAACGGUAGCUAAUACCCCAUACUAUCGUAUCACCCAUAUGGUAUUAGCUAGUAGGUGAGGUAAUGGCUCACCUAGGCGACGAUCCCUAGCUGGUCUGACAGGGUGAUCAGCCACACUGGGACUGAGACACGGCCCAGACUCCUACGGAGGCAGCAGUGGGGAAUAUUGCGCAAUGGGCGCAAGCCUGAUGCAGCCAUGCCGCGUGUAUGAAGAAGGCCCUAGGGUUGUAAAGUACUGUCAGUCGGGAGGCGGUACCGAAAGAAGAAGCACCGGCUAACUCCGUGCCAGCAGCCGCGGUAAUUC